Long non-coding RNA from Myotis lucifugus (little brown bat), 2033 nucleotides. RefSeq lists it as uncharacterized. The record is from RefSeq and is a predicted model, not a curated record. Lineage: Eukaryota; Metazoa; Chordata; Mammalia; Chiroptera; Vespertilionidae. The transcript is spliced from 2 exons.
UUGGGUGGAGGGGGUCUGUGGUGGGAAAAGGGGGACAUCUGUAAUACUUUUAGCAAUAAAGAUAAAUUUAAAAAUAAUAGCAAAUAAAAAAUCGGAGUCCUAGUCCAGUUAGGGCGGGGUUCUCCCUGAAGCAGAUCAGAAACAGGGCCACAGUGGCCGGCAGCGUGGACACACGUGGCCGCUCAGAGAAGGCCACCUCCUUACAGAAGGAGCAGCCGGACAGCCAUGCGCUGGCACGGGAACGCAGGCCUGCGGUUCCCCUGCGGGGCCCGGGAGCAGGAAGUGGCCGUGGACGUGGUCGGCCACGUGCUGCUGACAGUUGAAGCUGUGCCGUGUGUCCGUGGGCUUCCUUAUACUGUUCUAGGGCGUGUGCUUGAAAAGACGCGUGUAAAGAGUGUAAAACCUAAGAGUCUCCUGAGGCUGUGGCCCGUGACUUCCUACCCACGUCGGAGGGUACCCAGGCCGGGCCGCCGCCCGAGGCUCCGGGGCUGCGUGUCCUGGGAAGCGCUCGCAGUCCCGGGCAUAGAAAGUAUUACAGAAAGUGUUACAUGCAGAAUAUUAGUGACGCUCAAGCACUGGGCUCAUCCCUUCCUGAACCGUGUAAAAACCAAGGAAGGCACAUUCGGGAACAUAUGUGCAACAUGUAUCGACGACAUACUGAAGGCUUAUCAUUUCUGGCCCCGUUGCUACCAUACAAAACUUCACAUUUGACAGAGGAAGUCUUGUAAAAACAAAAAGAGAUACAGGAUACAAGCCCGUUUUUAGCUUGCUCUGUACAGAACGCGAGAGCCCAUCAUGUGACUGAGAAAAAUUCUCAGGUUGCUAAACACGACACAGCAUCCCCUGUACAGCAAACAGCGGUCCCGCGGGCCUUCCUCUCCCGCCUCCCCUGAAGCAGGGGAACGCGUCUUCCGGGCGAGUCGGUGUCCAGUGGCCACAUGGCCGUUCAGAGCUCCGUGUGCUUUGUGCCUGGAGUGGCGUCCGGGCCCAGCUUCGGCUCCCCUCUGACUGAGGGGCGGGGCCCCUGCACUUACCUCGCUGUCUUCCGAGAGGCCUAAGGACGAGCAUCAAUGACAGAUCCGCGUGCAGAGUCCGCCACUCACCAGGACAUCAAUGAAAGAAGUUUGUGAAAAUGAUGCUUAGUAAUCUCUCCAGAGGUAGUUCCGCUGUCCCUGCCAAAAGCCUUAAGAUAAGACCCAGAAUCUAACUUCAUUUUCCUCCAAGUGGCCCAUUAUCCAGUGCCAUGUACUGAAUAAUCCAUCUUGUUCCUGCCAUCCCGAGUAUUUACUGAGCAGCGACGUUGGCGCAGGCCCCGAGACGGUGAGGAAAUGACGCAGAGCCUACCUGCUGGUCAGAAACACAGACUGUGAGCAGAUCAUUACUGUUCAGCAGAAUGGUGCUUUCAGUGAAGGCUUGUGAAAGUCACUUUGGGACAAAUGGAGAAAUACUAAUGUCUGCCUAGAGCUGAGGGAAGAUGAACAAAAAAACAAACAGAAAAACCCUUGAGAAGAAACCAGUGAGAACCAGUCACUGUCCCGGGAUAAGAACCUUAACCAUUGACACUGUGUUGCAAGUAGAAGACAUUUACUUCACUCUUCCCUGAAGUUGUACUUAAUGUAAACGUGAAGUUACAUUCACGCCUUCAGUGUGUGAGCAGCUCUCUUCUCGCACGAUGAAAUAACCACACUCGUGUCUUAGUGCCUUUGUACUCCUGUUAGAACAGUUUCAUUUUAUAGUCACAGAAUAGAAGUAAAUAGAAGAACCCAUUUUCCUAUGGAUCUGUUUGAACUGGCACAUUCGUAACUAUUAUCGAGAUAAUUCCUGCGUGCUGAGCGGAACUGUCAGCUCUAACUCAUCACACACAGGAUGUUUACGUAAUAGCAUGUGUCUGCUUUGUUACACGGCGUCACCGCACCUGCAGCAGCAGUAGCACAGCUGUGUCUCAUACUCAGGUGGCUCCUAGAAAGACUGUUCACAUAUUCUCGCCUUCUCUUUUUGGGUGAUUAUAGAAUAAAUGUGUCUUUAUUUUUGUA